This 3597-nucleotide long non-coding RNA is filed under the name Oryza brachyantha (malo sina). RNAcentral's name for it is "long non-coding RNA (OBRA_LNC000175)". The record is from RNAcentral. Lineage: Eukaryota; Viridiplantae; Streptophyta; Magnoliopsida; Poales; Poaceae.
CCAAAAGUAGAAUAAAUCGAUCCAUCGAAUUUCCUGCUCUCUUGUAACACAAAUUUUGUAAUUGUAUAUUUUAACAUGGUAAUGCUUAUUUAAAAGAUGGGCCAAAAUUCUUUAGUUUGAAUGCUGUUUGAUUCCUAAAAGAUACUGUAUGUCGCCAUAUUUGGAUACUAAUGAAUAAAUACAUGACUUGUGUCAACGUCAGCGCGCUAUGUUUGCUCCAAACCAUCAUCUCCACCACCAGCAUCUUAGCCAUGCUUUAGCACAGGCGAUGACAGGGCUGCUUGGCCUUGAUGACCAUGCAUGUUACCUGGCAAUAUUACAAUACCUGCAUUUCUGAAUUGCUGGCAUGUUGUUUUGCCGCUUGCUACAGAAAGCAAAAUCAAACUUUUAGCACACAUUAAUGAUUGAUGGUAACUACACUACUAUUUUUUACUCCCUCCGUAUUUUAAAAAUGAUACUAUUGAUUUUUUUGGCACACAUAUGACUAUUUAGAUUCAUGUUAUAUAGAAAAGGAAAAUCAGGGCCUAUUCUGCAUAUGCGAAGCUUUAAAGAUUUCUUAAAAUAAAUUUAAAUGCAUCAGUUAAAAGAACUUGAAUGAUAUUCAAAUCAUCAGACUACUUAACCUGGACUUGCAUUUCUUUCGAACUCAACAUAAUUAAAAGCCAAAUAAACAAUAAUCUUAUCAAUUUUUCCAUUUAUGCCUAUGGUUCAUGCUCUGUUUCAUGCAUAUUAGUAGUAAAUUAAAUAAAAAAAAUCAGGCAUGUCUUUAUGACCAUUAAGUGAAUAAGGCCACUCUAAGUGCAAUGGUGCACGACAAAAAUACCAUGACAUACUUGAAACAAAAGACUAUUUUUGCCGGUGACCUAUAAAUUCUGGAGCUUUUUAUUUUUCUCGGUAGAAUUGGCUGUCCAGUGGGCUUUUGGGAUCAUCCAUGCCGUGAAAGAAAACAAAUUUGUAAUAAACAAUUAAACGCUCACUUGUUUUUUCCUGAAUCUACGUUAGCAUGAUAUGGAUGCAUUUUUAUAUAUACUAAAUUAUUUACUUAGCUUUCAUGCUUCCCCUAAUCUGAGAUGGAUGAGCCAUAUGAUGGAGUGGGAUGGCACGCCUGCUGACAUGAAGGACUGGAGGCCCUACUGGCUAAAAUAAAACGUUGCCCUGGUACUCCAGUGCUAUGACCCCCUGUACAUGCUCUUCUUGUAUAUAUCAACAUUAUCAAGAUAUCUAUCCUCAGGAUCACGUGCCGUUUGCAUUUCUGAAUAUAUAUAUGCAAUUGCACUCCGAGCAAGUGUGGAGUUGUAAGUAACUUAAAAGUGAUUAUUUGUUGACGUGUUUCGGGUGCGUUCUGUUAGUUUGGACAUGUUCUUUUGGCCGCAAAGCACUGCACUGUCUAGAGAGAAGAUUUAUCAGCCAUUCUGGACUGUUAUCUCCGACGAAAACUAAGUUACUAUGUGUAUUAUAUAUAAUCUGUUAUGAAAUAAUGUUGGACUUUGUACAGUGUAUUGCUUCCCUUGCUGAGUAAAAUGGAACUGUUUGUGCUCUAUGGAUCUCAGUGGAUCCGGUUUUGGUAAGUCGGUGAGCUCGGUGUGAAAACAACUGCACAACAAGUUAUUAACUUGACCUGAAUACUCCCUGAUGAAUGCUUGAUUAGCGUAUGUGCGUGCGGUUAGCAUAAGCAGUACAUGAAAUGUGUUUGCAUGCACGUACAUUCUCCAAAUUGUUUGAAUGCUUGAGAUUAAGGCUCCAUUUUGAAGGACAAUCAUAGAAAUUUUGGAGAAUUUUAUUUCUAUAUGAUUUUUUCCUAUGGACAUUACUGAAUCAUAUGCAAUGCCUCAUUUCAUUUACGCCUGUUUUGGAGAAAAUUUAACCUCAGGAAAAUGUUUUUCUUAGGUCUAAUUAAACUAUCCUUACCUUUUUUGGUGGCAUGCAUAUUACAUGUGUGUUCCAACAGGGCUAUAUUAAAAAGUAUUAUUAGCAUGUUAUUAACAUUUUUUUGCAUAUAUCACCUCUUAAUCGUUUGAUGUAUUUGUUAGUGACAUAUGGGAGUAUUGAAUUCCAAAAUUACUUUUCUACACAGAUAAACAGCUAGUAAUGAAGGUUGACACAAGUCUAUUUUACUCCCUCAAACAUUUCCAUCGGAGCACUUAGGUUUAUAGUUUGGGUGUUUAAUGGAAAAAGGUCAGGCGGCAUAUUUGUAAAUAAAAAAUAAUUUGUGAAUAAAAUUUGUAUGUACGUAUUAUUAGCGACCUAAAAGCCAGGGUUGUAAAAUAAACUUCGGCGAAAAAACCCAAAAUCAACUCUAAAUUUAAGGUUAAAAUUUAAAUUUUUGCUUAUAAGCAUAAGCAAAAAGAUGAGAGCCCCUAAACUAUUUUUUUACUUAUUUCACACACUGAACUAUUGAAAAAGGUUCAGUCUACUCUCUACUGCUACUUCUGUUUUUAGUUUCUCUCUAUAUAUAUAAUAUAUAUAUAAGUAAUAGUUUCCACCGAUGUUAGGAUGAUAGAUCAUUACAACUUACAGCUCGUCAAUCUUUUAGAAUUUUUCAAAUUGUUUAUAUAGGUUGGAAGCAAAAUAAAUUGAUUUAAACAUCAAUAUUCCAGAGUUCAAGCAAAUAGUCACGAAAAUUGAAAAUAUUUAUAAACUUCAAUAAUGGUGUCAUCUAUGGCUAAAAAAUGACCUUAAAUACCAGCUUGUUUCAUAAUGUAAGAUGUUUGAUUUUUUUACUUGCAAUGUUUGACUGUUUGUCUUAUUCAAAAAAUUAUGAAAAUAUCAUUUAUUUUUCUUAGGACUUACUUUAUUAUCAAAAGAAUUUUAAGCACGACUUGUUAUUUUUUAUAUUUAUAUUAAAUAUUUGAAUAAGACGAAUGGUCAAACGUUGCUAUCAAAAAAGUCAAACAUCUAACAUUAUGAAAUGGGGGUAGUACUAACAAUAACAAAAAAGAGAAAUGUUAUAAAUAGUGAAAUGAACCAUUUUUAAUAUUUUAGUGGGUAAAAUGAGCCAAAGAUAGUUUAAGGGGUUAAGUAGCUCGCGAAGUAAAGUAAUUUUUUCUUUGAAAAACAAGGAAUUGUUGGGCCGGAGGUGAUUCCAGAUUCACCGCUCACCACAAAUGCUAUUUUGUAGGACUAUAAACAUGCCUUAUAAUCCAUUUUACACUUGGGUUCUUGUCAGCAUACAGCGUUUCUUUUCUAUUCUUCUAUUCUAUUAUUUCAAUCAUGUGGUUGAAAGGAGCCCCCAAGCAUACAUUAAUUUUGACUAAAACAUUCGAGUUGCAUAAGAAGAAACCAAACUACAUGCACACUAAACUAAUUGAUCAAUUUGCUCCUCGCUUCGCCACGUCACAUUCCAUCCUUGGUAAUAGUAAGAAACACUAAGAAGUAAAGAAGGCUACCUAGCCUAGGGUGCCGACGCCGGCGAAGGAGUUGCUCCGCGUCAUCGGCAUCGACCGCGGCUGCCUCGGCCGGUAGCUCUUCCACCGGACCACCGCGUGGUCGCCGUCCUCGUCGUCCCCGACGCGGCAACGCUCGCCGAGGAUGAUCGUCUUCGUCCACAGGGUGCUGCCCUCGGGGGCCGGCUCACUGCCGCCGGCGUCCUCGUCAUNN